Molecule: transfer RNA, 71 nt
Filed under: Halipeurus diversus
Lineage: Eukaryota; Metazoa; Arthropoda; Insecta; Psocodea; Philopteridae
Description: tRNA-Asn
Source: RNAcentral
UUAAUUAAAGCCAAAAUAUGAGGCUUACCAUUGUUAAUGGUAGAAUUGAUGUAUUAUUUCAUCUAAUUAAA